AGGAAGACUGCCCUGGAUAGGGACUAUACCAAGUUCUUCUUUGCAGCAAAACCUCAGGGUCUUGAGUCUUGUGUUCACAUCUUUUUACUAAGAAGGGCUCCUCCAGACUCCUGGUAUACAUUUGUUGGAGGCCUUAAGGUGCAUGGUAAGCAGAGAGCAUCACACCUGAGCAGCAUUCUUACUCAGCUCAACAGCAAUAUCUGAGCCCGAGUUUCCCAUUCCAAUCACCAGGAUGCGUUUUCCCUCAAAUCCAUCUGGAUGCUUGUAUUGGCGGCUAUGGAAAUAUUGGCCUUUGAACCUCUCAAUACCUUCAGGGGGAAGAAGAGAGAAGUCUGUGAGCUCCAGAGCAACUAUGUCAAGCUAAUUUCAAUAAAACUGCAUUGCCAGCUUUUCCUUUCUGGAGUCAA
Molecule: non-coding RNA, 407 nt
Filed under: Pongo abelii (Sumatran orangutan)
Lineage: Eukaryota; Metazoa; Chordata; Mammalia; Primates; Hominidae
Source: RNAcentral